GACGAACGCUGGCGGCGUGCUUAACACAUGCAAGUCGAACGGAAAGGCCCUGCUUUUGUGGGGUGCUCGAGUGGCGAACGGGUGAGUAACACGUGAGUAACCUGCCCUUGACUUUGGGAUAACUUCAGGAAACUGGGGCUAAUACCGGAUAGGAGCUCCUGCUGCAUGGUGGGGGUUGGAAAGUUUCGGCGGUUGGGGAUGGACUCGCGGCUUAUCAGCUUGUUGGUGGGGUAGUGGCUUACCAAGGCUUUGACGGGUAGCCGGCCUGAGAGGGUGACCGGCAACACUGGGACUGGGAUGCGGCACAGACUCCUACGGGAGGCAGCAGUGGGGAAUAGUGCACUAUGGGCGGAAGCAUGAUGCAGCAACGCCGCGUGCGGGAUGACGGCCUUCGGGUCGGAAACCGCUUUCGCCUGUGACGAAGCGUGAGUGACGGUAAUGGGUAAAGAAGCACCGGCUAACUACGUG
RNAcentral lists this ribosomal RNA (468 nucleotides) under uncultured bacterium. RNAcentral's name for it is "partial 16S ribosomal RNA". It matches the Rfam family "Bacterial small subunit ribosomal RNA", at positions 28 to 507 of the family's 1533-position model. The record is from RNAcentral.